This 3699-nucleotide long non-coding RNA is filed under the name Lynx pardinus (Iberian lynx). The record is from RNAcentral. Lineage: Eukaryota; Metazoa; Chordata; Mammalia; Carnivora; Felidae.
AGAGCAGAUCAAGGAGGCAGAAGCUCUUCAGAACUAUCGAGAACCAUGAAGUGGACGGAACUGUUACCGAGGAGGGAUUUCUGGCCACCAGACUGACACUUAACAGACACCAAGAGCUGAGGCCUGGCACAGGCCAGACUCGGCCAAAGAAAGGACAAAGAUGAUUAUAAAGCCAGAUAUGAGCCAUCUGGGCCAUGCCCGUGUAAUCCAGAAGGUUGUGGAGGAAAGGCAGGAGCAGAGAGGGUGGGCUUGCUCCUGGAGGUCUUCCUGGAGGUGGUGAGCCUGGAGCUGUUUUUCAGAGAUAAGGGGGAAUGGGGUUACCAGGAGGUGAAGACUGCAGCUGGGGAGAAUAGCCUCUAGUCUAGGUCAAGCCCAGACUUGAGUUCUGAGAAAAGUCAAGAAUGCAUUUCUCUCCAGGGUAUUCACUGCGGGAGAGGUGGGUCAAACGGGUUUGCCCUCGUCACCAGCUGUAGAAACAGAAGUGGACGUCCCCAUCCCCUGCCAGCUCAGGGAGCGGAAAGCUUCCGUGACCUUGACUCUCACAGUACAUUGCCCUUUGGCAGCUCCCACGACCUGUGUGCCCCACGGCUCAGGUCAUCUUGAAGCCAAGACUUAAGGAAUGGACCCUCCAGGACCCACCUCCCCUGGCCUCGCCUUAUAAGACCCCGGUGACCCUGGCGUCUGAGGCUACAGCAGGAAACAGGAACCCACACUCCUUGGGGUUCAGGAACUCUGGGCGGCACAGGUGGGUCCCGGGAGCUGCCACCUUCCUUGCCAAGGGGCCGUGCAUGCCAUGCAGCUGAAGACCGACCCCAGCCCGGAAACAGAGCUUUCUAGUGGUUUCUGGCUUCUUUCCAGCCGGGAGCCAACACCAGGAGGAUUGGCUGGGGACCUCGAGGCCGGGGCUGCGCGCUCUGACGUGCAGCCCCUAGACACGCAGGGACGGUGGAGCUGGAGAACCCCAUCUUGGGAAGGCUGGUGGAGGGGGAGCCCCAGGCGGAGAGCGCUCAGCUGAUGCUCCAGCGUGCCACCUCCUUAUCUUACCAUCUCCAGAGAGACCACCCAGACUCCUGCCCUGAGACUGAAGAUUCAAGGCACGGGUGGAAGGCUGCCCGGGGAAGACAAGGGAGACCGAGGCAUGGCGACCAACGACAUUGUCCCACUGGGUGUGACAGUGCUAGAAGAGGGACCCGGGACUCGGGGCUACCUCUUCAUACCUCCCGAAGAUCGCCUUGGUCUGUGGGGCUUGGGAGGAAGGCAGUGGAUGGCUGGAAGGCCCCCUCUGGCUCCAGCCUGGAAUACUCAGACGAAGGGAGGGAGGCUGGGAGGUCUUUGCCUGCCCUGGAACCUUUCCGGGACUCCCACCCCCUUUGGCUCCGUAUCCCGAGAAUGACGAAAAGAAAUGCAGCCGGCCCCGACCCCGGCAGCGACCAGCAAUGCUGUGUAGGUGUCGCAAAGGGGUGGGAAGGAAGGCUGGAGGUCCUGGGGCUGGGGCGGCGGGCAGAGAUCGUGCUGAGGGGCAGGAGGGGGAGGGGCUCUGGGAGCCUGCUUCAGGGACCAUCUUGGCAGGGGACUGAGCCCGGGGCAGGGAUUCCAGGGAGCGUGCUUGCCUCCUGGAAGGCCAUUUCAGGUGAGGAUAGCGAAGCGACCAUUUAUUAGGGCUUUCUUUGGUCGGGCCUUUUACCCACAUGCUCUCAAUUCCUACAACGACCACGCGAGGUAGGUGCUGCCACCCCAUUUUACAGACGGGAAGAAGGAGACCCGGAGACGUGACCUUCCCCCAAGCAUCACAGAGUCCACAGUGAAGAGCGGGGGUGCAAAGGGGCUCGAUCGAGCGUGGCGUGGACCGCUGGCCGCAGGCGGAAGGAGCCGGGGGCUCCCUGAUGAAGAGCAGGGCGUCUCAGAGGGGGACUUCCCUGUCCGCAGUGUCAGCCAGGCCGAUGACCUCAGCUGGAGGCGGAGGAGAAGCCUGAGGGAGGAUUUGGGUGUGAGCAAGAAAGGGUGGACCCCCCGGAGAGGAGAAAUAAACACUGGCAUCAAAAUCGCCCGCAGGGCUCCGGGCGGGGGGCGGGCGGAGAGCUGGGGGUGGGAUGUCCCCGAGGAGGACUCCGGGGGAGGUGCUGGCAAGGUGUGGGGGUUGCUGGCCACCCACUGUCUCUCCGUGGGGGCUCCCUAGUUCCCGCCGCCUCUUACAGAGCAAGUGAUUUCAGAGAAGGAGCCUGCGGUAGGCAAGGUCAGGGCCCGCCUGUGCCCCUAGAGAAAGGAUUUCACCGCUGGGACUUAUUCGCUGAACAAAGCCAGGGGCCCGCCACAGGCCAGGUCCUUUUCUAAGCACUGGGAAUCGACGAAUGAACACAGCAAACAAAAAUCCUCGCUCUCCAGGGGCGCCUGGGCGGCUCAGUCGGUGGAGCGUCUGACUUCGGCUCAGGUCACGAUCUCACCAUUCGUGGGUUCGAGCCCCGGGUCGGGCUCUGUGCUGACAGCUCGGAGCCUGGAGCCUGCUUCAGAUUCUGUGCCUCCCUCUCUCUCUGCCCCAAUCCACUCGCAUUCUGUCUCUGUGUCUCUCAAAAAUAAACAUUAAAAGAAAAAAAACUCCUUGCUCUCCUGGAGCUCAACUUUUAGCUGGAAGAAAGACCAGAAAACGAUGAGGAAAAUAAUUGGUAACUCACCACAUAUGGUAAGUGCCAGAGAGAAACAAAACAAAACAAAGCAACUAAGAAGGGAUUUGAGAUGUUGCAGAGGGUAGGUGUGAAAUUUUAUUAUUUUUAUUUUGAUUUUAUAUUUUUAAUAUAUGUAUUUUUAAGCUUUAUUUAUUUAUUUAGAGAGACAGAGAAAGAGCACGAGCAGAGGAGGGGCAGAGAGAGGGAGCGAGAAUCCCAAGCAGGCCUCACACUGUCAGGGCAGAGCCUGACGCAGGACUUGAACUCACAAACCAUGAGAUCAUGACCUGAACUGAAAUUAAGAGUUGGAUGCUUAACCGGCUGAACCACCCAGGUGCCUGCCCCUCAGAGUGUGAAAUUGUAGAUCGGGAUGUCAGGAAGGUUCUUCUGAGUCAAUCUAUGAAGAACGAUGUGAGCAAGGUUAGCCAGAAGUUCUCUGGAGGAAGAGCGUUCAGGAAGCGGGAACAGUCAGUGCAAAGGUCCUGAGGCAGGAGCACGCCUGGAGGGUUAGGAGACCAUCAAGGAGACUGGUAUGGCUGGAGGAGAGAGAAAAGGUGGGAAUGUUGGAGUCAAGGUCAAAGAGGUCGUUAGAGCCAGAUUAAGGAGUGUCGUAAAAGAAAGGAGUUUGGUUUACAUCCCGAGCCCCCAGAGGGUUGGAGUAGGAGAGUGAACCCUUUGUAAGUGAUGGGGAUGGGCGGGAUGACUUUGGAGGUUCAUUCCAGUUAGCGAGUUCAUGACACAGGGUCUCUUUUUGGGAUCCAGAUGCCUUCCUUCACUGCAUUAGGGUCCGCUAGGUAACGCGGACUGAGUCCGUGUGUGUGUUUGGGGGAGGGUGGGAAGGGACUUCCGGCUGCGAUCUUCACUUUCCUGAACCACCGAUAUGUUUGGACCAGGUAGCUUCCGAAACGUCAUCUAGCCCCGAGAUGUAUGAAUCUUCCAAAGCGCCCCGCUUGGGGAAUUUCCGCUCGGCAGCCCUGAGCUGAGUGUGCAGGUUUCCCCUUGGGAACGUGUGACACAGCCUGGUCGUGGGAGCCGCUCG